GGGGAUAUAGCUCAGUUGGCUAGAGCAUCUCAUUUGCAAUGAGAAGGUCACCGGUUCGAAUCCGGUUAUCUCCA
Molecule: transfer RNA, 74 nt
Filed under: Candidatus Portnoybacteria bacterium CG_4_10_14_0_2_um_filter_39_11
Lineage: Bacteria; Candidatus Portnoyibacteriota
Also listed under: 1 other name
Description: tRNA-Ala
Rfam family: tRNA
About the family: Transfer RNA (tRNA) molecules are approximately 80 nucleotides in length.
Source: RNAcentral